UACGGAGGGUGCAAGCGUUGUCCGGAUUUAUUGGGUUUAAAGGGUGCGUAGGCGGCCCGUUAAGUCAGUGGUGAAAGCCUCCAGCUCAACUGGAGAACUGCCAUUGAUACUGGCGGGCUUGAGUACAGACGAGGUAGGCGGAAUUGAUUGUGUAGCGGUGAAAUGCAUAGAUACAAUCAAGAACACCGAUUGCGUAGGCAGCCUACUAGGCUGUAACUGACGCUGAGGCACGAAAGCGUGGGGAGCGAACAGG
This 253-nucleotide ribosomal RNA is filed under the name uncultured bacterium. RNAcentral's name for it is "partial 16S ribosomal RNA". It matches the Rfam family "Bacterial small subunit ribosomal RNA", at positions 524 to 776 of the family's 1533-position model. The record is from RNAcentral.